GAUCCGCGCCGCUGCAGAGUUUGAUCCUGGCUCAGGACGAACGCUGGCGGCGUGCCUAACACAUGCAAGUCGAACGGAGAUAUCUUGAAUGAAGACUUCGGUCGGAUUUCGAUUUAUCUUAGUGGCGGACGGGUGAGUAACGCGUGAGUAACCUGCCUUUUUGAGGGGGAUAACAUCGGGAAAUCGAUGCUAAUACCGCAUAACAUUCAAAGUCCGCAUGGAUAAUGAAUCAAAGGAGCAAUCCGCAGAAAGAUGGACUCGCGUCCGAUUAGCCAGUUGGUGAGGUAACGGCUCACCAAAGCAACGAUCGGUAGCCGGGUUGAGAGACUGAACGGCCACAUUGGGACUGAGACACGGCCCAGACUCCUACGGGAGGCAGCAGUGGGGGAUAUUGCACAAUGGGCGAAAGCCUGAUGCAGCAACGCCGCGUGAGGGAAGAAGGUUUUCGGAUUGUAAACCUCUGUCCAAAGGGAAGAAGCAAAUGACGGUACCUUUGGAGGAAGCUCCGGCUAACUACGUGCCAGCAGCCGCGGUAAUACGUAGGGAGCGAGCGUUGUCCGGAUUUACUGGGUGUAAAGGGUGCGUAGGCGGCCGUAAGGGUCAGGCGUGAAAUAUGUGGGCUUAACUCACGGACUGCGUUUGAAACUAUAUGGCUUGAGUGAAGUAGAGGCAGGCGGAAUUCCCUGUGUAGCGGUGAAAUGCGUAGAGAUAGGGAGGAACACCAGUGGCGAAAGCGGCCUGCUGGGCUUUAACUGACGCUGAGGCACGAAAGCGUGGGUAGCAAACAGGAUUAGAUACCCUGGUAGUCCACGCUGUAAACGAUGAUUACUAGGUGUGGGGGGUCUGACCCCUUCCGUGCCGGAGUUAACACAAUAAGUAAUCCACCUGGGGAGUACGACCGCAAGGUUGAAACUCAAAGGAAUUGACGGGGGCCCGCACAAGCAGUGGAGUAUGUGGUUUAAUUCGAAGAUACGCGAAGAACCUUACCAGGUCUUGACAUCCAACUAACGAAGUAGAGAUACAUCAGGUGCCCUUCGGGGAAAGUUGAGACAGGUGGUGCAUGGUUGUCGUCAGCUCGUGUCGUGAGAUGUUGGGUUAAGUCCCGCAACGAGCGCAACCCUUGCUGUUAGUUGCGACAUUCAGUUGAGCACUCUAGCAGGACUGCCGUUGACAAAACGGAGGAAGGUGGGGACGACGUCAAAUCAUCAUGCCCCUUAUGACCUGGGCUACACACGUACUACAAUGGCCGAAACAAAGGGAAGCGAAGGAGCGAUCUGGAGCAAACCCCAAAAAGCGGUCUCAGUUCAGAUUGUAGGCUGAAACUCGCCUGCAUGAAGAUGGAAUUGCUAGUAAUCGCGAAUCAGCAUGUCGCGGUGAAUACGUUCCCGGGCCUUGUACACACCGCCCGUCACACCAUGGGAGCCGGUAAUACCCGAAGUCAGUGACCUGACUCAGCAAUGAGAAGGAGCUGCCGAAGGUAGGAUUGGCGACUGGGGUGAAGUCGUAACAAGGUAACCCGGGCGGCCGCU
Molecule: ribosomal RNA, 1529 nt
Filed under: uncultured bacterium
Lineage: Bacteria
Description: bacterial SSU rRNA
Rfam family: Bacterial small subunit ribosomal RNA
Source: RNAcentral